RNAcentral lists this ribosomal RNA (216 nucleotides) under Glomeromycotina sp. RNAcentral describes it as "partial small subunit ribosomal RNA". The stretch from base 40 to 216 matches the Rfam family "Eukaryotic small subunit ribosomal RNA", at positions 686 to 864 of the family's 1831-position model. Lineage: Eukaryota; Fungi; Glomeromycota. The record is from RNAcentral.
GGGUCAGUAGGUUGGUCGUGCCACCGGUACGUACUGGUCUCACUGAUUCCUCCUUCCUGAAGAACCGUAAUGCCAUUAAUUUGGUGUUGCGGGGAAGCAGGACUGUUACUUUAAAAAAAUUAGAGUGUUUAAAGCAAGCUAACGCUUGAAUACAUUAGCAUGGAAUAAUGAAAUAGGACGAUCGAUCCUAUUUUGUUGGUUUCUAGGAUUGACGUA